RNAcentral lists this long non-coding RNA (482 nucleotides) under Olea europaea (common olive). Its description in RNAcentral is "long non-coding RNA (OEUR_LNC001636)". Lineage: Eukaryota; Viridiplantae; Streptophyta; Magnoliopsida; Lamiales; Oleaceae. The record is from RNAcentral.
AAAGGAGAACCAUAAAAACAUUGCUCAAUAACAUUAGCCAUUUUGAAAAACCCUUCAAAAACAAUAUAAUUCAAUCUCAAACAAAGACAUAUUGAGCGUUCUUCUAAUUAAUUUUGUACUAUGAAUCUUAAAUUUCUAUUACACCAAUGAACUAAAUUUCUGUGGAAUUUUAUACUUGGAAAUUACAAAAGGACUGCAUGAUAUUUCACCAUUGGCACAGUGUCAAAGCACUCAAACCGAACCCAAGAAUGUCAACAAACAACUAAACUUAUCAUCUUUGCUUGCAGUACUCCUGAAUGCAAAGGCGCUCUUCAUCCAUCUAGCUGAUUACAUAAUAGAGCACAAACAUCCACCUUUCUUCAUGGCAUUAUCUUGCAGUUUAUCUGAGGCAAGAGCAUUUAAAUAUUAGUGAUUAAAACAGGGAUUUGUGAUCCUAAAUUUAUAUGAAGACACAUACAAGGGAAUGGAAUCCUCGACUCNNN